Malaclemys terrapin pileata is the source of this 3241-nucleotide long non-coding RNA. RefSeq lists it as uncharacterized. The transcript has 2 exons. The record is from RefSeq and is a predicted model, not a curated record. Lineage: Eukaryota; Metazoa; Chordata; Testudines; Emydidae.
GCAGGAAGGGGGGUUCUGCUUGCAGAUCUGCUCCCGGUCGAUCUUCUCGUUCACGUACAGCACCCCAGUCUCCAGGUUGAGCUCUAGCUCUCCUCCUGUCCCGGCUCCAGCUCCUGUGAUCUCUACUGGCAGUUUCUGAGCUCCGAGCGCUCGGCUUUUCUGUUUUUGCGCAGCGCCCUGCUCCUGCCAACCAAUGAAUGUGUAGCAACACCCACAGGCGCGACAGCCCAUUGGAUCCAGCGCACGUCAAGCAGGCUGCAUCUCAGGGGAGAGAGGGGGGAGAAUCCAGAGCUCUAGUUGGUCUGUGUGCAUGGCACAGAGAGACAGAGAGAGAGAGAGAGAAUAACCCUGCAGCUCCCGAAGCGCUUAUUGGGGAAUCUCUGCCUCGGAAAGUUACUAUUCCCCUGCUGCAGUUACUGAAUAGGGAGAUCACCUAUCGUCAUCAAUGCAAACCAAGACGACAAUAAUAACCAGUUUUCCCCGUGGAGGAGGAAUUUCCAUCAGCUACUAACUUUUUUUUUCCUAUUUGGCUAGCUCUAUAUCUGGCUCAAUGGUAAAACAAACAUUUUUAAAAAUAAACAAGGGAAACUUGUGCCUUAUUUUACUCUGGGCUACCUUAAAUAAUUAGUUCAGUUGACAAAUGAGAGAGUGCAAGUUUCCAUCACACGCCUACACUUUUUGCUAGUUCAUCUAAUUAACACCGUCAUGCAUUUGGGCCAAAUCCUGGCCUGAUUUACACCCUCUGCAGUUUCACUGUCUGAAGUGAAAGAGAUGGUACACGAUGUAAAUCAAAGCAGAAUGUGAUAAUUUGUGUGAUGGCGUGGAAUAAAUGUCAACAGUGCUUGAUCUGAAAUUAGUUUGUGUGUGAGGAGAAGAGGAUUAGAUGGGAAGAGUCAAUAGAAGUUUGCUAAUGAAAAAUAUUAUUUAAUAAAAUGCUCCGGAUACAAACGACCAUUCUUUUAUCGGUGUUUACUAUUGUUUCAACUUUCCUGACAUGGAAAGCACUUUGAUAAUGUUACUUAGUAGCUGUUUCACUAUUGCAACUGUACACAAUAUCCCUUUUUGUACCCUUUGCUGAAAUACUAUUUUACAACUUAAACUAGUACCCUUCAGCAACACACAUUGGAUAGUCUUACGUCUUGUACAACACCAGCACACUAGAUGCCUUCUCUUCCCCCACUCCCAACAAUAGUGGAAGGACAGUAGGCGUAGAAGACUGUGAUAAGUAAGGUCAAUGGCAAUUUCUGCAUUGAUAUAAAUAGGUUUUGCAUUUAAAGUCAAUAGGUAACACGCAUUUUGGAGACAUGUAUGUAUGUGUCUACAUUAAAUGUAAACCAUCUGGUUAAGAUUUAUGGAUUAAUUUUGGUACAAGUGUUCAUAAAUCUAAACUGUGGACACAUUAAUAUAUCCGGUGAUUUAUUAAAUUGAAGUUCCAUUUAUAUAACUUUCUAAACCUUAUACAAAUAGAAUGAAAUGUUCAUAAAUUUCACUUUUUGCUAACUGCUAGUUGGUUAUUGUUUAUAAGGAACACCAAAUAUUAGGCAGAAAGAGAGACUUAUUGUAAGAUCAGUGAUUCGUGAUCACAUCUUUGAUAAUAACUAGUAAAAUAGUAGAAGGAUGGCUUCCUUUGAUACAUUUCAAGAAGCUGUCUGUUCAGAUGCAUUUUUCUAUUGUGGAAAUAGAGGAAAUUACAUUUCGAUACAGGUUCAUUUAUAAAAAAAUCUUCUAUGUAUUUAUAAAUGUUUGUAUUUAUCCUUCUAUCUAUCUUGUUCAUUCAUUGCAGUCUGGUCUUCUCCUCCUCCUUCCUUCGCUUCUUUCAUGUGAAUGGGUCCUAUCUUUGAGCAGUUAAAGCUGGGUUACCAGAAAAAAAUGGCUAAUCCUUUUCCAGCUGCAGUAAAUUUACAACCCGGCAAAGCCAAGCUAAAGCCGCUGCAGCUAAAAUGAUUUCAGUGUGAUGUCUGGGGCUGAGAAUGGAGAGACAGUUUAUAAAACGACCUGUGGAUCAAUGAAAAGGAGAUUAUGGCGUAUCUGAAUAUGAAUACAGCCAUCGGAUCAAUAUAUCAUCCUUGUCCUCCACCCCCCCCCCCCCCCACCCCUUUCCUUCCUUCCGUUCCUUCCGUUUUUACUCCUAGGAUCCGAAAGGAAGGACACGUAACUUGAAGGGGCUUUAGCUGCCUCCUCGAAAUUUUGGUGCAUUUAAAAAAAUGUCUCUGUUUUUUGUAUGCUUUUAUCUAAAAUAAUGAAUGACAAUGCAGAUUAUUAAAUCUCUGUUUCAAACAAUCUGGAAUGGAGACAAGCGCCGGCAACUCAUUGAAACCUGGAAAUCUUAACGAGAGAGGGAUAUACAAUAGAUGGACGGAUCUUGUUGUAAAUAAUCACUGCAUCAACUAUAACACUUAAGUUUUAUACAGAUGUAGUAGCUGAAGGGAUGAGUGGAUUUGCUUUGCAAUUGUAGGUAGCAGGCUCCUCCUAGCGGUUAAAGUCGCACACUGCACGCAAGAUGUGAUUUCUUUAGAGGCAUUUCUGUGCAGGACGCUGGCUUCAUUCCUCCUCUCCUCCCGGAUUUCCCCAGUGUCUCCAAAGGAUGAAACUGUGAUGUAAGAUGCUUUAAUUUAUUUAUCUCAAUAGCUGUUUAUAUUCAGUACAUCAGUUACUCAAUUGUUGGUUAUUCAUAUGCUUCUUUUUGUAUUCGCUUGCAGGACUGUAAUCCAAAAUGUUCAAAGCUCUGCAUGCAGCUGCAGUUAGGGAAUUUUAAUGGAUUUUUUAUCUAGCCGCCAUCCAGAUGUUGACCCAAGCAUACUCCAUCUCGCAUGAAAUUCCCUUUCCACCCGCCCUGAACUGGGAUCUUAUUUUGCAUUCCUUUGCAUUUAUCACCAACUUUAAGGUUUAAUGUAUUCGCUUUGCUCUGCUGAUUUUCCUUCACAGGCAGCGUCCACCGCUCUUAGUUUACAGGGAUUACAUAAACAAAUGGCUUUGUUGUUGUAAUAACGGCUGCUUUGAAGUGCAAUAUAACAAACACAGUGCUGCCUCUCCACGGGAGCAGUAAUUACAGCAGAGCAGCAACCUAGAGAGGGGGUGAACCAUUAAAGUUACCCAUCAGUGCUCACACGGCGGGAAAUCGACCCUACACUAACAAUUCUCUCCCCCACCUCUCAUUCCGUUGCAAACGAAAGUUUUAGGAGCACAGUUUGGCUCUUAGAUUUAGUUGGCUUUUCUAUAAUAAAAUGAUUUAAUGACUGAG